Non-coding RNA from Potamilus streckersoni, 74 nucleotides. The record is from the annotation of a GenBank genome assembly. NCBI's taxonomy places the organism in Eukaryota, Metazoa, Mollusca, Bivalvia, Unionida, Unionidae.
AUCAUCGGUUGUUCAGAUGGUAGAACGUUAGACUCAUAAUCAAAGAGUCGCUGGUUCAAUACUUGCCCAUGCCA